GGGGUUGUGGCUCAGCGGUAGAGCGCUCGCCUAGCACGUGCCAAGCCCUGGGUUUGAUCCUCAGCACCACA
RNAcentral lists this transfer RNA (71 nucleotides) under Marmota monax (woodchuck). RNAcentral's name for it is "tRNA.Ala". Lineage: Eukaryota; Metazoa; Chordata; Mammalia; Rodentia; Sciuridae. The record is from RNAcentral.